AGGGGUGGGGCUGCGGGCGGCCCUGGAGCGCGGCGCUGAUGGCGGGGCCGGUGAAGGACCGCGAGGCUUUCCAGAGGCUCAACUUCCUGUACCAGGUGAGUCUGCGACAAGGGCCCCACGGGGACGGUGCUCGGCGUCCCAGAGUGACCGCUCCCCUCCCGCAGGCCGCCUAUUGUGUCCUUGCCCAGGACCCCGAGAACCAGGCGCUGGCGAGGUUUUACUGCUACACUGAGAGGACCAUUGCGAAGCGGCUCGUCUUGCGGCGGGACCCCUCGUUGAAGAGGACUCUCUGUCGAGGCUGCUCUUCCCUCCUCGUCCCGGGCCUCACCUGCACCCAGCGCCAGAGACGUGAGUGCUCCAACCGAGGUGGAAGAUUGCGGAGCAUUGGGGGCGCGGGGGGGCGGGGUGGGGGGCGGGCACUGGGAGGCCAACAGCGCCUUUCUCACUUUAGAUGGAUGUUGGGUGUGGGAUUCGCAGGAGUCUUCCUUCUUCGGGUUUGGAUUAAGUUGCUAACGCCACUUGCACAAACUAGGGUUUGGGCUCGGCUUUUUUUUUUUUCUUCCAGUGUGGACAAUAAAGAAUAACUUUUAAGAGGCAACCCCACCCACGCACAAUAAUAGAUGUUAUUCGGCUUUGUGGAGGUCAUGAUUCCCAUCACAUUCAUUUAUUAAGCAAAUACUUAUUUUCUAAAAUGUGUCAGGCUGCAGGGGACAGCGCUGGACCGUACAGACCUGCCUAACAUGCCAGCGCAGCCAACGCUUC
Molecule: small RNA, 762 nt
Filed under: Pongo abelii (Sumatran orangutan)
Lineage: Eukaryota; Metazoa; Chordata; Mammalia; Primates; Hominidae
Description: processed transcript
Source: RNAcentral